Molecule: ribosomal RNA, 446 nt
Filed under: uncultured bacterium
Lineage: Bacteria
Description: bacterial SSU rRNA
Rfam family: Bacterial small subunit ribosomal RNA
Source: RNAcentral
GUCCCAGACUCCUACGGGAGGCAGCAGUGGGGAAUAUUGCACAAUGGGGGGAACCCUGAUGCAGCGACGCCGCGUGGGUGAAGGAGCACCUCGGUGCGUAAAGCCCUAUCGGCAGGGAAGAAACAGACGGUACCUGACUAAGAAGCCCCGGCUAACUACGUGCCAGCAGCCGCGGUAAUACGUAGGGGGCGAGCGUUAUCCGGAUUUAUUGGGUUUAAAGGGUGCGUAGGCGGGCUUUUAAGUCAGCGGUAAAAAGUCGGGGCUCAACCCCGUCCGGCCGUUGAAACUGGGGGCCUUGAGUGGGCGAGAAGAAGGCGGAAUGCGUGGUGUAGCGGUGAAAUGCAUAGAUAUCACGCAGAACUCCGAUUGCGAAGGCAGCAUACCGGCGCCCGACUGACGCUGAGGCACGAAAGCGUGGGGAUCGAACAGGAUUAGAUACCCGUGUA